RNAcentral lists this ribosomal RNA (488 nucleotides) under uncultured bacterium. RNAcentral's name for it is "partial 16S ribosomal RNA". It matches the Rfam family "Bacterial small subunit ribosomal RNA", at positions 30 to 506 of the family's 1533-position model. The record is from RNAcentral.
UUGAACGCUGGCGGCAGGCCUAACACAUGCCAGUCGAACGGUAACAGGAAGAAGCUUGCUUCUUUGCUGACGAGUGGCGGACGGGUGAGUAAUGUCUGGGAAACUGCCUGAUGGAGGGGGAUAACUACUGGAAACGGUAGCUAAUACCGCAUAAUGUCGCAAGACCAAAGAGGGGGACCUUCGGGCCUCUUGCCAUCGGAUGUGCCCAGAUGGGAUUAGCUAGUAGGUGGGGUAACGGCUCACCUAGGCGACGAUCCCUAGCUGGUCUGAGAGGAUGACCAGCCACACUGGAACUGAGACACGGUCCAGACUCCUACGGGAGGCAGCGGUGGGGAAUAUGGCACAAUGGGCGAAAGCCUGAUGCAGCUAUGCCGGGUGUAUGAAGAAGGCCUUCGGGUUGUAAAGUACUUUCGGCGGGGAGGAAGGGAGUAAAGUUAAUACCUUUGCUCAUUGACGUUACCCGAAGAAGAAGCACCGGCUAACUCCGU